UAGUACGGUCAGCAUAAUUAAUUACCCAUUCUUUCUUCAUCAUUGGCUGGCUUUUUGCUAAAAUGACUGAUUCAGUUUCUUAGGAGAGAUUGCUACCUGUGUUUCUGGAUAUGGAGGAUGCCUUAUUCCUUCAGGACCAGUAGCUGGUUAGUCUCAGAUGAAUUGCACCUAUGGAAGACACUUGACCAGUUUGUGCCCGAAUGCUGGAAGACUUUCAUUCUGGUUUGGUUUCCGAGUAAGCAGGGAAAAUCAGAGUUAUGCACAAAACCCUGGCUACUUUGAGAUAGUAAAAGUGGAAAACAAAGCCAUUGACCCAGAGGAUUCCACUGUGCUUUGAUGGAUCUUCUUUCUCUGCACGGAAUAAACUUAAGAAGAGGAACAGCAUUCUUUUCUGCUGACCUUGAGAUUUGAUUUGUGAUGGGAUUUUUGACUCAAAGCAGUACUCACUAAGAGACUUGGGAUAUAGUUCAGAUGGAAAAAUGCUUGCCUGACAAACACAAAGUUCGGGGUUCAGCCUACCCUAGGGCCAUUCUAGCACUUGGGAGGUGGAGGAAGGAGAAUCUGAGUUCAAGGUUGUUUUGGCUGCAGAGUUUGAGGGAAAUCUGGGAUACAUGAGAUUUUGCCUAAAAAAAGCAAUAAUUUAAAUAUCAUCAGGAGAUAAAGGUUAUGUGGACUGACAAUGCAAGAUAAUAACACACACACACACACAAGCAUGCACAUAUACACCAAAUUAUUGAGUGCUCCUGGCUUAAGCCAUUCAUUUUGGAAGUAGUAGCAUAUAUUACAAGUCAAGAUGGCCAGCUCCAUCACCCAGAGGAAGCAGUCAAAAAACCGCUACUGUGUGCCAGAGAGGUGGCUCAGCAAUUAAGCUCACUCUGGGCUCUUGCAGAGUGUUCUGCUCCAUGCAUACAGGGAGGCCCACAGCCACCUGUAACUCCAGCCUCAGGGAACACAAAUCCCUCUUCUCACUUCUGCAGGCACUGUGCUCACAUGCACAAAUUCACAUGCUCUCAUACACAUAUGCAUAAUAAAUUUUAGAAAAUCUUAAAAAUAUAUGUGUGAUUUUUACUUUUGUUUUUCAGUUGUAGGACACAAAUGCAUAAAAACUGCUUGUUAACAAGAGAAACAAUAGAAAACACACACCCCCAUGAGCACCUUAAAAUUAUGUUUUAAAUGUAGGUUUCAGAUAACACAUUUAUUACCACAAACUAUAAAUAGAUAGCAAAGGACUGAAUUCCUCGAAACAUAUCAAAUAUGUGAUAAGAAAUUGGGAGGUCUGAGAAGAUAGGUCAGCUGGUAAAGCGCAUCCCAAGAGAGCAUCCGGGAAAGUCUGGGUGUACCACCACACAUUUGUCACCACACAUUUGUCAUUGGGGAAGUGGAGGCAGAAAGAGCACUGGAAUUCUAGCCAAAUGAUGAGCUCCAUGUUCAGAGAGAGACCAUGUCUCAAAAAAUAAAAUAAAAUAAAAUAAAAUGGAAGGGCUAGAGAGAGGGCUUAGCAUUUAAGAGUACAUACUGAUCUUCCGUAGGACCCAGUGGUACCCGCACUCAUUUGCAUCCCCCAUAUACAAAGUUUAAAAUAAACUUACAGGUGGAGAAUGACUGAGGACAAUUCCUGAAAUAGACACCUUGCCUCUGGCAGCUGCUGAGCACAUGCAUGUGCUCACCUGCACGUAUGAACAUAUACAUGAAUACAUAAAUAAAAACAGAAAGAAUCAGGAAUUAAUAGAAGAUUUUGGAUAGUUUCUCAGACAGGUGUGUCUUCCACUCAAGGUCUUGAAUGGAGGAAAACAUUACAGUAAUGAUUAUUCUAGUAAUGCAAUUGACAUUUGACAUUCACUGAGCAUCUGUUGCGUACCAGGCAUAACAAUAAGAACUGCACAUACAAAGCCAGGGGUAAUCCUGCAUAGCUUUAGGAGCUGAAUUUUAUUUUAAACUGAUCUUUCAGAUAUGGGAAUAGAAUGUCAGAAGUGAACACACCUCUUGAUUUGUCCAACAUGAUACUGCUGGUCAGUUAUAGGGGAGGAAUUUGACCCUUGGUUCCCUAGCCAACACUUAAAAGGAGGUUGGCAGGUGAACUCAGUGUUUUCAUGCUCUAUGAAAAAAAUAAUAAAUAUUAGAUUGAAAAUAGUUAUUUUUUACUAUUGUUACAAGUCUGACUUAACCUAGAUUUGCAAAAGACCCAAGGGAAUAUAUUAACAGAAAGUUCUCUCAAUGAUUGAAGAUGUUAAAAAAAAAAUGAAACAGGCAUAUACACAAUAUUUACUACCUGAUAAGCAUAAGCUAUGCUGUCUUACAUGUUUGUGUGUGCUCAGUUUUUUUCACCCAUCCACCAUAGAGGGAAUUGGUUCAAUUACUUUUUAGUAAUUUAUGGUAAGUAUGAACAGAGAAUUAUGAAACAAAGAAGUUUAAGUUCAUGCCCAAGGUCAUAGAUGAGACUUUGAACACACAGGUAGUCAAGUUCCAGAUGCUGUGUUCUCAUUCACUGUGUCACCUUCUCCCAACCUUUGAGUACUUCUUAAGCAGGAACCUGUAGGAAUGAGAGAAAGAGCUAUGUACAGACUGAUAGCUGGCCUUUCUGGGAUGUGUUAUCAUGUGCCUGCAGUGUGUUUGCUGUGUUUCCAUGAAAUAGUCAUAACAUUGUCCCCAUCAUGGAUGAUGCCUCUGAAAUCCAGAUCAUCAAUGUCCAUGAUUCUACUUAAAGAGGAAGCUGGGAUUUGAAGACAGGGAUUCUAAUAUGGUAUAGCACUCUAUAUUGGGGUAAUGUUUCCAGCUCUGAUUAUAUUUAAUAAAAUUCUCACACACACAAAGUUUUAGGAAAGAAAUUGCUCUACUCAGCUUAUUUCAUAAAUGCAGGUGGUCCCAGCACUAUGUACAACUCACACUAAUUUUAAGAGAAGCAGCCAUUCCCAGACUGUUCCUAAGACUUUUCUAUCUAGAAGCAAGUAGUUUCAAACCUUUUAGCAUCCUCUUGGUACUUAUAACAUAGCUCUACAAGCCAUCCUCCUAUUCCUAUUUGGUUUUCAAGUUUCCAUUUCUAAGAAUCAUCUAUUGAUUUCCCACAUGGGAAAUAAAGCAGUAUUAUCCAUUUGCCCUCAUGUUUCUGUAAUGGUGUCUAUAUGACUUUCUUGUUAUGCUCAUUAUUUCCUAGGCAGUUGAUAAUUAUAUGUUUGUUUAUAUAUUGCUUAGCUUUUCAUUGUCUGUCAGUAGAGAAUCUCUAAGCUCUCCCUUGAUUGGCCAAUCUUCUUUUGAUAUGAUCAAUGAUAUUAAAGAUGCUAGUAUUCCUUACCUUCUCAAGGACAUCUCCCCUGAACAAGACUCUCUUAUUGCUUCUAUUUUGUACCUAUUGUUUUGGGGCCUUCUGCAGCAGCUUUUGCUGGAAUGUUCCUUUUAUUAUCUCCAUCAGAAAAAUAAAAACCUAUAUGUACCAUU
Meriones unguiculatus (Mongolian gerbil) is the source of this 3432-nucleotide long non-coding RNA. RefSeq lists it as uncharacterized. NCBI's taxonomy places the organism in Eukaryota, Metazoa, Chordata, Mammalia, Rodentia, Muridae. The record is from RefSeq and is a predicted model, not a curated record. The transcript is spliced from 3 exons.